RNAcentral lists this long non-coding RNA (2716 nucleotides) under Manduca sexta (tobacco hornworm). RNAcentral's name for it is "uncharacterized LOC119190544". Lineage: Eukaryota; Metazoa; Arthropoda; Insecta; Lepidoptera; Sphingidae. The record is from RNAcentral.
ACCCUGCCUAAUACCGGUUUUUAUCUACAAGCCACGGUUCCACUGUAGUCUCGAACAAACCCGACCAUGCUUCGUGCAACAUCGUUCUCUCGACUGUUCCAUUCUACUACCGUUAUUUAAUCAUCUGUGCAAUAAAAAAUGAACUCUACGUCUAUGAAAAUUAGACUACAAUUUAUAAAACAAAAAUAUACCGUUUUCGUUCCGUUUCGCUAUCGUAAAUCACAAUGAAACUUCUGUUUCAGUCGAGAAUAUUCCAGAUAGAUAACAAUUUCAAAUUGAAGUACCGGGCCGAUAAAUAUAGACAUAAUGGAAUAAUAUCAUCGACAACGAUAAUAUCCUUAGUGCAGAACCAACCUCGUGUCGCACACCCCAUGAAGAUACGAAACUCUACGUACAGCACUUUCUAAAAUAAUGGAUAAUAGCUAUUAACUUCACCUUCACCAACAAUCAACAUUACUAUCGUAUUCAGUCAAUAUUACUCAUUGCUUACAAAAUAAGCACUUACUUAUUCUUGCUAAAUUCUAAAUAGAGCAUGAAUAAAAUGAUUAACUUUAUAUCUGACCUUUUCUAUUCUCUCCCUGCUUCAAAAACUCAUCUUCCCCCCAUAAAAUCGAUAAAGCUCCAACAGUUCUCUUGCGUAGGUGUUCAAAAGUGUUAGUAAUCACUUUCGUUUGCCUACUUCCUGCUAUUAAAAAGUUUUCUAAGGAAAACAAGUACUCCUUCAGCCUGUAUUAUUAGUAAUAUUAGUAGGUCAAAAAAUAAAUUACUUUCUUUCGAAAGUACUACUCAGAAUCGGUUAGCAUUAAAAGCUGCCACGUUGGGCCGUAAAUGAUUCAAAAUUAAUUACAACUUGACGCGGAUUCAAGCUGCAUUCGGCUCAUGUGGUAAAAAAAUUUGGAAUUUCAUCCGCCCACUAAAUCCAAAACCUGUUGUUCAAACCAAGUAAGCUAUGCAAUUAUGAACGUGAAUGGAUCGCAAAAAAUAUUUUAUUUAUAAUACAAGUUACUUGAAUAUUUAUUUAUCCCACCAAACGUGAAGGUCGUAAUAGAACUGUUUUUUCUUCUAUAGGACCUUUAGUAUUCUUCCUUUGCCUUCCAUAGUUGGAUUGAAACAGCUAGUAUUAAUAAUGAAACAAAAAAAAAAAUAGUAAUAUAAACGAUGACAGAGAAUAUUUGAUUGAUCAUUACUUUUUUCUUUACGUUUAAGUUUUUAUCAGAUUAUUUUGAAUAAAAUUUGUUUUUUUGUUAUAUAUUUAUUCCCUAAUUGCCUUAUUGCUUAUAACAUCCAACCAGCCCUUGACAAGUUAAUGGAAAAUUUUAAACUAAAUAUUUUGUUUGCCUGUACAUAAACAAACAGCCAACACAGCUGUUUUAUAUGAGGACAAUCUAUCACCGAUAACAGCUAGAUAAAGGCGGAUUCCUCCGGCGUGGAUUGUUAUCUAAAUAUUCGAUUUUGUAACUGGUUUUACAGAACACGUGAGCUGGUUAUCGUUAUAUAAAGUCAUUUUUACAGAUGAACGUAUAUAUAAAUUACUAGAUUCUGUAGAGGUAUGCUUUAAGUACUUCUAUUGCCUAGCAGUAAUUCGGCUUGAAGGAAAUUAAAUUGAAUUUACUGGGUCUAAUAAGAUAGAAUUUCAGAUUCGAUCGGGUUUUGGCGUAAUUUGCAUAAAUUCAUAAACAACUACAUAUCUUGUCUUUGAUAUUUUUUGACAGAAACAAAUGCGUCUGCGCCAGGAGAAUGCGCUAGUGUUUUUUAUAAGAUAUUAACAUACGUCUGCAUUCGCAGUAUUACCUUUUCUCUAAACACCGUUAUGUCCUGAAGGAUCGAUAUGCAGAAUCGAUUAUUAGGUAGAGUUCGAAAAGCUGUAGUAUAGUAAGUAUCGGCAAUAUCAAUUAUAACCCAGCAAUAGAGAUGGGACUGAAUCGACUUUUCACAUUAUUGUCCUAGUAAAAACGUCCCAUUUUCUGACUAAACUAACCACAUUAAAUCUGGCGUUUAGUAACAAAAGAUAUAGCUGGAGUCAUCUCAUAUUAACUAAAAAUAAGCAAACCACGAAAAUAUUUUUUCCAUUAUGAAACAGGAAAAAAGAAGUAAGGUAAAAACAUAAAAUCAAUAAUAAAUUUUGCAAACUACAUGCUCCGUUUAAAUAUACGUGCGAGCAUCGAUAACUAUUAAAACAUGCAACAUGGCACCAAGCCUUGUCUAGGGUAAGCAGAGGUAUCUAUAUCAUAAAAAUCACACUCGCAUCUUGCGAGGUACUAGGUUCCAUCACCCAUUUAAUAAAUGGCGAAUCUAUUACCGACUUCGGGCUGUCUCUCGUUGCAGAGUUACGCUGUAGACAAAACAACAUGAUUUUUUUAAAAGGGCUAAGCAAAAUAACUCUACCAGUGGCAAAGGGUCUAUAUAACUCGAUUCCUGCCGGCUUCCCUUUCGUAAUUUAUGUAGAAUCUAAUUAUCAUUAGGACGAUUAAAAGACCGCAUUUAUGCAUAGUACCUAUAUGGUGUGUCGGGUUAUAUUUCGAAUAUUCCACCAUGGACCCUACUGCACUGGGUAAUAAGCGAUGUAAGGUCCAGAUAGUGUCUGACGAGAGCAUAAUUAGUACGAUCUAGUAACCGAAGGUCUGAAGUAAAUUUCUUGAAGCUUAAAUACAUUAAAUACACAUAAAUAUAAUAUGAUAGACAUUAAUCCACCUAACUCUCACGAUCAUUGGCAUAA